UACGUAGGGACCGAGCGUUGUCCGGAUUCAUUGGGCGUAAAGAGCUCGUAGGCGGCCACUCAAGUCGAAUGUGAAACCUCGAGGCUUAACCUCGAGCCUGCAUUCGAUACUGGGCGGCUAGAGUCUGGUAGGGGGAUCUGGAAUUCCUGGUGUAGCGGUGGAAUGCGCAGAUAUCAGGAGGAACACCGGUGGCGAAGGCGGCUCACUGGCCCGGUACUGACGCUCAUGUGCGAAAGCGUGGGGAGCAAACAGG
Molecule: ribosomal RNA, 253 nt
Filed under: uncultured bacterium
Lineage: Bacteria
Description: partial 16S ribosomal RNA
Rfam family: Bacterial small subunit ribosomal RNA
Source: RNAcentral